AAACCUUGGAUAAAUAGAAGAUAGAGAAAGGUAUAGAGUGUUUUACUUGAAAGAGGAAAAAAAAACCCUUGAGAUUUGUGCUUUUCGGUGAGAGAAACUGCUGCUUCUUUACACUGAUCUGAUCGGCAGCAGUUUUAUCCGUGGGAUAGAGAAUUCAGCUGUUUAAGCCGAAGGAAAACCAACACAGUUUUUAUUUUUAAAAAAUGGUUUUUAGAGAUGUUAUCAAGGAACCAAAAGUGAAGGUGGAGAGGCCAGGCCGUGAUUCAUCGGUUAUGGUUGGCUUGCAAAAUUGUGUUAUUUCGCAGCCUCUUGUCAACUUAGAGCAAGACUUGGAGUUUCGUGAGAAGAAUUUGCAUAUACUGGAUCGUGUUUUAUCAGGGAGAAAUAAUACCAGUUCAGAAAAUGUUGGAAUUGGUUUGUUUGAGAGGGAGACUUUGAAUUCUGAUUAUGAACCUAUGGACACGGGAGAGAAUCGCGAUGGGCAUGCAUCGGAAGACGGUCUCUUGCCUGGUCUUUAUGAUGAUGCUGCAAUGUAUAUUUUGGCUUCGAGUUGCAGAUCGGAUUACCCCAAUUUGGCGUUGCUAAAUAAGAAAUUCAAAGCAUUGAUUGAAAGUGGGUGUUUAUAUAAAGUGAGGCGGCAGCUUGGGGUCACUGAACACUGGAUUUAUUUAGCUUGUAUUUUGAUGCCUUGGGAAGCUUUUGAUCCUGCAAGUGAGAGAUGGAUGCGGUUACCGAGGAUUCCUUGUGAUGAAUGCUUCACUUAUGCAGAUAAGGAGUCUCUUGCAGUAGGGACUCAGCUACUUGUUUUCGGGCGUGAGUUGUUAGGGUUUGCUGUUUGGAUGUAUAGCUUGCUUACCCAUGAUUGGUCCAGAUGCCCUCCAAUGAACUUGCCCCGUUGUUUGUUUGGUUCAAGCAGCCUUGGCGAAAUUGCUAUUGUUGCUGGAGGAAGUGACAAAAAUGGAUGCAUUAUGAGAUCUGCUGAGCUUUAUAACUCUGAAGUCGGUACUUGGCUAACAUUGCCAGAUAUGAACUUGCCCCGUAAGCUGUGUUCAGGCUUUUUUAUGGAUGGAAAGUUCUAUGUCAUUGGGGGUAUGUCAAGCCAGACAGAAUGUUUAAGUUGUGGUGAAGAGUAUAACCUUGAGACAAGUACAUGGAGGAGGAUAGAGAACAUGUACCCUCUUCCCAGUGCAGGCCAUCCUGCAAUGCGUUCUCCUCCACUGGUCGCUGUUGUAAAUAAUCAGCUUUAUUCUGCUGAUCAAGCAACGAACGAGGUCAAGAGAUACAACAAAACUAAUAAUUCUUGGAGUGUUGUCAAGAGGUUGCCAGUUAGGGCUGACUCUUCUAAUGGCUGGGGAUUAGCAUUUAAAGCAUGUGGUAGCAGCUUAUUGGUAAUUGGAGGGCACAGAGGCCCUCAAGGUGAAGUUAUUGUGCUCCAUACUUGGGAUCCUCAGGACAGAAGCACGGGCACAUCAGAAUGGAAUGUUCUUGCUGUCAAGGAGCGAGCAGGUGCCUUUGUGGCAAACUGUGCUGUAAUGGGAUGUUAAUGCUCUCUUUCAUCCCUAUCUUUGGUGCAAACCUUUGACUUACAGACAAAACCAAAUGUUAAAUUGAUUGCGAAGGUGAAUCAGAGUCAGUAUCUCGUUACUUGAUUGUUUGCUCAGAGGAUAGAAAAGUGGAAGGUGUGGCUCAAUGGGAACAUGUUAUAGCUGCUCUAAGAAAUAUACUCUGGACAUUUUAGAUGGAAGUCAGUUUAUUUUUACUGGAGGGAACGAAGAGAAUGGUGGCUGUUGGAGGCCUUUGAGGAAAACUUUGCCGUAUAAGUUUUGGCAGAUCAGCGUGCUCGAGAUUGCACAAGUUUUGCUGGGUCUGAUUUCAUCGAAGAAGCUUGUAUAGUUUCCUAAGUGGUUGAUGGAGCUUGUUUCUUAUCGUAGAAGAAGCUCUGGCUUUGACAAAUGUGCAGAGUGAAUGUGGUUAGACAUUAGCUGACUAUAAACUUUCGAUUAAAUUGAGGUAUUUGAGAAUUCGGGAAGCCAUGUCUCCACUCGAAUUGUGUUCCUGGUAGCUUUCUGUAUAGAUAAAGAAAGUGUAAUUGAUAGCUUGUCAUGUCAUCUAUUUUGAAGUUGUUCUGUAAUAUUACCCUUAUUUAAAAA
Molecule: RNA transcript, 2150 nt
Organism: Populus euphratica (Euphrates poplar)
Lineage: Eukaryota; Viridiplantae; Streptophyta; Magnoliopsida; Malpighiales; Salicaceae
Gene name: F-box/kelch-repeat protein At5g60570-like
Exons: 3
Source: RefSeq, a predicted model, not a curated record